This 468-nucleotide ribosomal RNA is filed under the name uncultured bacterium. RNAcentral describes it as "partial 16S ribosomal RNA". It matches the Rfam family "Bacterial small subunit ribosomal RNA", at positions 28 to 507 of the family's 1533-position model. The record is from RNAcentral.
GACGAACGCUGGCGGCGUGCUUAACACAUGCAAGUCGAACGGAAAGGCCCUGCUUUUGUGGGGUGCUCGAGUGGCGAACGGGUGAGUAACACGUGAGUAACCUGCCCUUGACUUUGGGAUAACUUCAGGAAACUGGGGCUAAUACAGGAUAGGAGCUCCUGCUGCAUGGUGGGGGAUGGAAAGUUUCGGCGGUUGUGGAUGGACUCGCGGCUUAUCAGCUUGUUGGUGGGGUAGUGGCUUACCAAGGCUUUGAAGGGUAGCCGGCCUGAGAGGGUGAACGGCCACAUUGGGACUGAGAUACGGACCAGUCGGCUACGGUAGGCAGCAGUGGAAAAUCUUGCACAAUGGGCGGGAGCCUGAUGCAGCAACGCCGCGUUCGGGAUAACGGCCUUCGGGUUGUAAACCGCUUUCGCCUGUGACGAAGCGUGAGUGACGGUAAUGGGUAAGAAAGCACCGGCUAACUACGUG